This 311-nucleotide ribosomal RNA is filed under the name uncultured soil bacterium. RNAcentral's name for it is "bacterial SSU rRNA". It matches the Rfam family "Bacterial small subunit ribosomal RNA", at positions 26 to 364 of the family's 1533-position model. The record is from RNAcentral.
AGAACGAACGCUGGCGGCAUGCCUAAUACAUGCAAGUCGAACGAACACUUCGGUGUUAGUGGCGCACGGGUGCGUAACGCGUGGGAAUCUGCCCUUGGGUUCGGAAUAACAGUUGGAAACGACUGCUAAUACCGGAUGAUAUCGAAAGAUCAAAGAUUUAUCGCCCAGGGAUGAGCCCGCGUAGGAUUAGCUAGUUGGUGAGGUAAAGGCUCACCAAGGCGACGAUCCUUAGCUGGUCUGAGAGGAUGAUCAGCCACACUGGGACUGAGACACGGCCCAGACUCCUACGGGAGGCAGCAGGUGGGGAAAUA